RNAcentral lists this non-coding RNA (87 nucleotides) under uncultured Nitzschia. Lineage: Eukaryota; Bacillariophyta; Bacillariophyceae; Bacillariales; Bacillariaceae. The record is from RNAcentral.
GGUCAAAUACGACCGUGACCGAAGCUUCUGUUAGUGGCGGCGGCGGUGCAGCUGGUGGUGGUGGUUCUAUUGGCGGCAGUACAGCUG